Molecule: ribosomal RNA, 414 nt
Filed under: uncultured soil bacterium
Lineage: Bacteria
Description: bacterial SSU rRNA
Rfam family: Bacterial small subunit ribosomal RNA
Source: RNAcentral
GGAACGAACGCUGGCGGCAUGCCUAAUACAUGCAAGUCGAACGAACACUUCGGUGUUAGUGGCGCACGGGUGCGUAACGCGUGGGAAUCUGCCCUUGGGUUCGGAAUAACAGUUGGAAACGACUGCUAAUACCGGAUGAUAUCGAAAGAUCAAAGAUUUAUCGCCCAGGGAUGAGCCCGCGUAGGAUUAGCUAGUUGGUGAGGUAAAGGCUCACCAAGGCGACGAUCCUUAGCUGGUCUGAGAGGAUGAUCAGCCACACUGGGACUGAGACACGGCCCAGACUCCUACGGGAGGCAGCAGUAGGGAAUAGUUGGACAAUGGGCGACAAGCCUAGGAUCCGAGCAAUGCCGCGUGAGUGAAUGGAAGGCCGUUUAAGGGUAGUAAAGUCUUCCGUUUUAACCGAGUAUAGAAUAA